RNAcentral lists this ribosomal RNA (497 nucleotides) under uncultured bacterium. RNAcentral describes it as "partial 16S ribosomal RNA". It matches the Rfam family "Bacterial small subunit ribosomal RNA", at positions 28 to 507 of the family's 1533-position model. The record is from RNAcentral.
GAUGAACGCUGGCGGCGUGCCUAAUACAUGCCAGUCGAGCGAACAGAUGAGGAGCUUGCUCCUCUGACGUUAGCGGCGGACGGGUGAGUAACACGUGGAUAACCUACCUAUAAGACUGGGAUAACUUCGGGAAACCGGAGCUAAUACCGGAUAAUAUAUUGAACCGCAUGGUUCAAUAGUGAAAGACGGUUUUGCUGUCACUUAUAGAUGGAUCCGCGCCGCAUUAGCUAGUUGGUAAGGUAACGGCUUACCAAGGCAACGAUGCGUAGCCGACCUGAGAGGGUGAUCGGCCACACUGGAACUGAGACACGGUCCAGACUCCUACGGGAGGCAGCAGUAGGGAAUCUUCCGCAAUGGGCGAAAGCCUGACGGAGCAACGCCGCGUGAGUGAUGAAGGUCUUCGGAUCGUAAAACUCUGUUAUUAGGGAAGAUCAAAUGUGUAAGUAACUAUGCACGUCUUGACGGUACCUAAUCAGAAAGCCACGGCUAACUACGUG